UGGCUCCUGUCGAAGCUACCAUGCCCA
RNAcentral lists this unclassified non-coding RNA (27 nucleotides) under Mus musculus (house mouse). Its description in RNAcentral is "oocyte_clustered_small_RNA8247". Lineage: Eukaryota; Metazoa; Chordata; Mammalia; Rodentia; Muridae. The record is from RNAcentral.